UACGUAGGCAGCGAGCGUUGUUCGGAAUUACUGGGCGUAAAGAGUGUGUAGGCGGUGCUCUAAGUUCGGUGUGAAAUCUCCCGGCUUAACUGGGAGGGUGCGCCGGAAACUGGAGUGCUCGAACGUGGGAGAGGAAAGCGGAAUUCCUGGUGUAGCGGUGAAAUGCGCAGAUAUCAGGAGGAACACCGGUGGCGAAGGCGGGUCUCUGGACCGAUAUUGACGCUGGAGGAGCGAAAGCGUGGGGAGCGAACAGG
This 254-nucleotide ribosomal RNA is filed under the name uncultured bacterium. Its description in RNAcentral is "partial 16S ribosomal RNA". It matches the Rfam family "Bacterial small subunit ribosomal RNA", at positions 524 to 776 of the family's 1533-position model. The record is from RNAcentral.